AACGAACGCUGGCGGCAUGCCUAACACAUGCAAGUCGAACGAGACCUUCGGGUCUAGUGGCGCACGGGUGCGUAACACGUGGGGACCUGCACUUGGGUUCGGAGUAACUCCCCGAGGGGGGACCUAAGGCAGGUGAAUGUCUUAGGACAAAAGAUUUCUCGCUGUUGGAUGGGCCCGCGUUGGCUUGGCUGGUUGGUAGGGUACAAGCCUACCAAGGCGACGAUCCAUAGCUGGUCUGAGAGGAUGAUAAGCUAGGAUGGAACUGCGACCCGGCCCAGACGCCUACGGAAGGCAGCAGUGGGUAAUAUUGUACAAUGGGCGAAAGCCUGAUCCAGCAGUGCCGCGUGAGAGAUGAAGGCCUUAGGGUUGUAAAGCUCUUUUACCCGGGAUGAUAAUGACAGUACCGGGAGAAUAAGCUCCGGCUAACUCCGUG
Molecule: ribosomal RNA, 433 nt
Filed under: uncultured bacterium
Lineage: Bacteria
Description: partial 16S ribosomal RNA
Rfam family: Bacterial small subunit ribosomal RNA
Source: RNAcentral